Callorhinchus milii (elephant shark) is the source of this 389-nucleotide long non-coding RNA. RefSeq lists it as uncharacterized. The record is from RefSeq and is a predicted model, not a curated record. Lineage: Eukaryota; Metazoa; Chordata; Chondrichthyes; Chimaeriformes; Callorhinchidae. The transcript has 4 exons.
AGCCGCGAGGGCGACGCGCGGACUUUCUCUUCGGCCGACGCCAUCUUUGUGAGAGGACUUCCCCCUUUCCGAGAUGAGGGCUAAGUGGAGGAAGAAGCGAAUGCGCAGACUGAAGCGCAAAAGGCGAAAGAUGAGGCAGAGGUGCCGUUAGAUGUUCCUCUGGGAGUUGCCAAUGAGACCGGCGAUGGCAGGCGAGGGAACUGGGCUGUCAGCACGUUUAUCUGCCUGAGACACAACUCGUUCCCCCCCCGAAGACCAGACUGUUCAAUCCACGUUUAUUGGAUUCCGAUGUUUGUCGGCUAACCUUUGUGUUCUCCACAGCCCACACUGAACUCUUUGUCAUUUGCCUGUUGAGGUUUUAGUUCUACAAUAAAAUUCUUUUGAAGUAA